CGGGGCGUAGCUCAGCCUGGUAGAGCACCUGCUUUGGGAGCAGGGGGUCGCGUGUUCGAAUCUCGUCGCCCCGACCA
This 77-nucleotide transfer RNA is filed under the name Rhodospirillaceae bacterium. RNAcentral's name for it is "tRNA-Pro". It matches the Rfam family "tRNA". From Rfam's summary of the family: Transfer RNA (tRNA) molecules are approximately 80 nucleotides in length. Their secondary structure includes four short double-helical elements and three loops (D, anti-codon, and T loops). Further hydrogen bonds mediate the characteristic L-shaped molecular structure. tRNAs have two regions of fundamental functional importance: the anti-codon, which is responsible for specific mRNA codon recognition, and the 3' end, to which the tRNAs corresponding amino acid is attached (by aminoacyl-tRNA synthetases). tRNAs cope with the degeneracy of the genetic code in two manners: having more than one tRNA (with a specific anti-codon) for a particular amino acid; and 'wobble' base-pairing, i.e. permitting non-standard base-pairing at the 3rd anti-codon position. RNAcentral also lists the same sequence under 2 other names. Lineage: Bacteria; Pseudomonadati; Pseudomonadota; Alphaproteobacteria; Rhodospirillales; Rhodospirillaceae. The record is from RNAcentral.